CAUUGUUCUUCGGAUUAGGUUAUCUCGAACAGGCAACUGAUCGAGCAGCUGUGGCUCGACGGCGACCGACUCGAUGGAGAUUUUUCUUUUUCAUCUCCACUGCUCCUUGAUUUCACUUCAUUGUGUAGCUGAAAUUCCUCUCUCACCAGCUAGCGAACAAAAAACAUGAGACUCCAAUUGUGCUCGUGAGACGGGCGGUAGUUGUGCUCAUGUGGAUAUCAAAGAGGUGCGAAUACUCUGAUCGUGCUUAGAUUGGCUUGACUCUCGAGAUUCGCAAAGGUUCUGCGUAUCUAGAGGCAACACUAUAGGCCUACCUUGUGCUAUAAAUGCAUGAACCUGCUACAUUGCCACCAGUACGUGGCACCGCCAACCAACUAGCUUUCCAUGGUAAAGACAAAAAAAAAAACAAAACAGGUUAUCAUUAUCACUCUCCUUAAUACGUGGAAGGAUUUUUGUUUUUUUGACAUACAUUCUCAGUGUUUGCAACCUGGAAUAUUUAGAGCA
Molecule: long non-coding RNA, 504 nt
Organism: Zingiber officinale
Lineage: Eukaryota; Viridiplantae; Streptophyta; Magnoliopsida; Zingiberales; Zingiberaceae
Exons: 3
Source: RefSeq, a predicted model, not a curated record